GCGGGCCCUACCAAUUGCAAGUUCGAACGGUAGCACAGAGAGCUUUCGCUCGGGUGACGAGUGGGGGACGGGUGAGUAAUGUCUGGGAAACUGCCUGAUGGAGGGGGAUAACUACUGGAAACGGUAGCUAAUACCGCAUAACGUCGCAAGACCAAAGUGGGGGACCUUCGGGCCUCUUGCCAUCUGAUGUGCCCAGAUGGGAUUAGCUUGUAGGUGAGGUAACCCCUCACCUACGCGACGAUCCCUAGCUGGUCUGAGAGGAUGACCAGCCACACUGGAACUGAGACACGGUCCAUACUCCUACGGGAGGCAGCAGUGGGGAAUAUGCACAAUGGGCGCAAGCCUGAUGCAGCCAUGCCGCGUGUAUGAAGAAGGCCUUCGGGUUGUA
RNAcentral lists this ribosomal RNA (388 nucleotides) under Klebsiella oxytoca. RNAcentral's name for it is "bacterial SSU rRNA". It matches the Rfam family "Bacterial small subunit ribosomal RNA", at positions 42 to 427 of the family's 1533-position model. Lineage: Bacteria; Pseudomonadati; Pseudomonadota; Gammaproteobacteria; Enterobacterales; Enterobacteriaceae. The record is from RNAcentral.